This 253-nucleotide ribosomal RNA is filed under the name uncultured bacterium. Its description in RNAcentral is "partial 16S ribosomal RNA". It matches the Rfam family "Bacterial small subunit ribosomal RNA", at positions 524 to 776 of the family's 1533-position model. The record is from RNAcentral.
UACGUAGGGUGCGAGCGUUGCCCGGAUUUACUGGGCGUAAAGCGUGCGCAGGCGGUUCUCCAAGUCCGUUGUGAAAGCCCCGGGCUCAACCUGGGAAUGGCAGUGGAAACUAGGGGACUGGAAUCUGGCAGAGGGGGGUGGAAUGCCGCGUGUAGCAGUGAAAUGCGUAGAGAUGCGGCGGAACACCGAUGGCGAAGGCAGCCCCCUGGGCUGAGAUUGACGCUCAGGCACGAAAGCGUGGGGAGCAAACAGG